AGUGAACGCUGGCGGUAGGCCUAACACAUGCAAGUCGAACGGCAGCACAGGAGAGCUUGCUCUCUGGGUGGCGAGUGGCGGACGGGUGAGGAAUACAUCGGAAUCUACUCUGUCGUGGGGGAUAACGUAGGGAAACUUACGCUAAUACCGCAUACGACCUACGGGUGAAAGCAGGGGAUCUUCGGACCUUGCGCGAUUGAAUGAGCCGAUGUCGGAUUAGCUAGUUGGCGGGGUAAAGGCCCACCAAGGCGACGAUCCGUAGCUGGUCUGAGAGGAGAAUCAGCCACACUGGAACUGAGACACGGUCCAGACUCCGACGGGAGGAAGCAGUGGGGAAUAGUGGACAAUGGGCGCAAGCCUGAUCCAGCCAUACCGCGUGGGUGAAGAAGGCCUUCGGGUUGUAAAGCCCUUUUGUUGGGAAAGAAAUCCAGCUGGCUAAUACCCGGUUGGGAUGACGGUACCCAAAGAAUAAGCACCGGCUAACUUCGUGCCAGCCGCCGCCGUAA
This 506-nucleotide ribosomal RNA is filed under the name uncultured bacterium. RNAcentral's name for it is "partial 16S ribosomal RNA". It matches the Rfam family "Bacterial small subunit ribosomal RNA", at positions 29 to 523 of the family's 1533-position model. The record is from RNAcentral.